UACUGGGUGUACCGAUUUUAAUAAUUUUUAAUUUAAUCGAAAGCUGAUGUUUGUCAUGUGGUCACAUAUAAAUUUUAUUGAGAUCUGAUAACUAAUUUUUGAGUAAUCUUUGAUAACGCAUAGUUACUUGACUAUUUUUUCGUCGAUCUACGUUGUAUUACUUGUCGAUGUAAUUGAAGUCGGUUUUUUUUCGUUUGCGAGCAAACACAAUUAUUUCGUCAACUUAGGUUGUAUUACUUGUCUAUGUAAUUAGUCUUUUUUUUUUCUUUUGCGAGGAAACAAUUAUGAUAUUAAAUUACUGUAAGGAACUGUUUGCUCACGUACAAUAAAUAGGAGUUAACUAGGAAAUUACUAAACUCCACGAAUUAUGUUUUGACACUGAUUUGUUGUGUUUAAGGUGAAUAAAAUACAUAUAAAAUUGGUGUGUAAGCAAAAGUUGCCUAACGAACACAUAAAAAUAUGAAAUAGUAUAAGGCAAUAAAUGCACGAGUAAAUCCUCUGUACAAUUAUGAUUAGAGGUGUUAAUCUUAUCAGCACACAACAUUGUACGAAUAAAAUAUAAAAAGAUCAACAAUACUUUUAUAAACUGCGGUUGAAAAACUUUUAUAUAUACAAUGACAAACAGUAUUUAAGGGAUAACUCAUUUUCAGAAAUAAAAAACAAUAAUUUCCGUAUUUCAUAAGUUUAAUAAAAAUUUAAUGUUACAGUAUAAACAGUAAGGUCGUAAAUGGCAGUGAUGUUAUUAUUACUUAUAAGUUACAAUAUUCACUAUACAAGACCAACACUUUCCCAUGUCAUCUACGGCGUGUCGCUCUUGACACUGGCAAAUAAUACCUCCAACAUUGAAAUUGCAUUAACAUAUCUAUAAAACUUCGAGAGAAAUAACGAACGGACCAGUGUCAAAAACGGGUCGCCCUACGACAUCCGCCUGCCGAUUGCCUAACCAUUGUCUAAUUUUACAUCGAGCCAAACAAUAAUUAUAUCUAACAUUCGUUAAUCCAAUCAAAAAGAAAAUAAUUGAUUUUUUUAGUCAAGUUUAUAUUUAUUUGCAUAAAAAAUAAAAUAUUUUUACAAUCAGAUCCCUCCUAUUCGCGACAGACUAAGUGCAGUUACAGUUAGUCGUCGCGAAAUGAGAGUUCGUUUACUUUCAUUUAGAAGUUUGUCUACUCGAGUAUAACAUUCUUUGGGACAUAGCAGCACUGUUCACCGGACCCUCCUAAAACGCAGAGCCACACUCCGUGCCUUACACUUACAGACUACUAUUCGCUAUGAACAUUAUACUAGGAAUCGAAAAACUAAAAUCGAAGUGCGAAAAAAAUAAAUAAAAUUUUCUUCUAUACAAAAAUAACACAUUUAUUGUGGUGAACACCUGAGCACUUGAGACCAAACGAAACGACCUUCCGACGCUCUACCGACUCGAUACAUUUCCUUAACUAAACAUCUAAAUCUAUCGACUAAGUGUACAGGAGGCGGUCGCCAAUACGCUAUCAAUACGCUACCUUCGGCUAAUCGUCGCCGAAAAAUUGACUUCGCUUUAUCAUUAUCUCUCACAAUUACAAAAGUGAUCGAGGAGAUUGUAAACUGUAAAUUUAACGAUUUAAAAAAUUACGUUUUAUCACGAGAAUAUUCGUAUCGAACUACAAUUUAUACUCACACACCGUGUAUUAAAAAUAGAACGUCAUCUUUAUGAUAACUUACAUUUUUAUACAGUUGGUCGAAAACGUCAAUUUCUCAUAAAAAAUACAGAAAACUAGCUAGCGACUAUCGACAAGGAAGUGCGAGUCGAAAAACGAUAACUUUCGACGUCAGAUACUACAUUCAUGAAUGACAUUAACGUUAGAAACUAGAAAAUCCCGAUAAACAAAAGAAGCGUCACAUAGAUACAAACGAGGAGGAGGCCGCUCUACUCUGGCGGCAACUAGACGGGCGGGCCGGCGGCUCAGUCCGGCGUGGACGUGUGCGGCGGCGCGGGGCGGUGCAGCGUGAAGGCGUCGUACACCUGCGCCAGCUCCUCCACGUGGUGCUCCUCCAGGCACAGGAAGCCGGCCAGCGUGGGGCUGGCGCGGCGCGCGCACGCCAGGUUCCACGUCAGGUGCACCAUGGGCACGAUCGACUUGAAGUUCUGCACCUUGUUCCACUCGUAGCGCUCGAGCGCGAGCGAAUACUGGCGCGCCGUCAGCGGCCCGACGUUCCAGGCGAUGUUGUUGCACCAGCCGGUCGCCUGCACCCAGUGCACGCAGCCCGCGUUCACCCACACGAG
Molecule: unclassified non-coding RNA, 2260 nt
Filed under: Melitaea cinxia (Glanville fritillary)
Lineage: Eukaryota; Metazoa; Arthropoda; Insecta; Lepidoptera; Nymphalidae
Description: misc RNA ENSMCXG00005010277.1
Source: RNAcentral